Molecule: ribosomal RNA, 423 nt
Filed under: uncultured bacterium
Lineage: Bacteria
Description: bacterial SSU rRNA
Rfam family: Bacterial small subunit ribosomal RNA
Source: RNAcentral
AAGACCUUGCGCUUUUGGAGCGGCCGAUGCCUGACUAGCUUGUUGGUAAGGUAAAAGCUUACCAAGGCUUCGAUCAGUAGCUGGUCUGAGAGGACGAUCAGCCACACUGGGACUGAGACACGGCCCAGACUCCUACGGGAGGCAGCAGUGGGGAAUUUUGGACAAUGGGGGCAACCCUGAUCCAGCCAUGCCGCGUGAGUGAAGAAGGCCUUCGGGUUGUAAAGCUCUUUCAGCCGGAACGAAACGGUUACGGAUAACACCCGUGACUACUGACGGUACCGGAAGAAGAAGCACCGGCUAACUACGUGCCAGCAGCCGCGGUAAUACGUAGGGUGCGAGCGUUAAUCGGAAUUACUGGGCGUAAAGGGUGCGCAGGCGGUUUUGUAAGUCAGAUGUGAAAUCCCCGGGCUUAACCUGGGAACU